GACGAACCGUGCGAACGUUGUUCGGAAUCACUGGGCUUAAAGGGCGCGUAGGCGGCUCAUCAAGUCGGGGGUGAAAUCUUUCGGCUCAACCGGAAAAGUGCCUUCGAUACUGAUGAGCUAGAGCGAGGUAGGGGCAGAUGGAACUUCCGGUGGAGCGGUGAAAUGUGUUGAUAUCGGAAGGAACGCCGGUGGCGAAAGCGAUCUGCUGGACCUCUUCUGACGCUGAGGCGCGAAAGCUAGGGGAGCAAACGGG
This 253-nucleotide ribosomal RNA is filed under the name uncultured bacterium. RNAcentral describes it as "partial 16S ribosomal RNA". It matches the Rfam family "Bacterial small subunit ribosomal RNA", at positions 524 to 776 of the family's 1533-position model. The record is from RNAcentral.